This 1515-nucleotide long non-coding RNA is filed under the name Ananas comosus (pineapple). Its description in RNAcentral is "long non-coding RNA (ACOM_LNC030053)". Lineage: Eukaryota; Viridiplantae; Streptophyta; Magnoliopsida; Poales; Bromeliaceae. The record is from RNAcentral.
UAUAUAAUUUGAUUAGGACGACAGAGUAAUAAGAUUGGUCAAACGAACCAUUGAAUGGUGUAAAUAGUAAAUUUAAUGUAUCUGUAUUAUCAAUAAUAAAACUUACUCUUUUAGUAUUAUUGUUGCUGUGAAUGCGAAAAUUAAAGAUAUGGUUUAACUACCAAUAGAGAAAACUUCAAAAAAAACUCCAAUGGUUUCACACUUUUUCAUUUUAGUAUCCUAUAGUUUAAAGUGUAUCAAGUUAGUACCCUGUGGUUUCUCACUUUAUCACUUUAGUACUCUGUGAUUUAAAGUGUAUCAAGUUAGUACUCUAUGAUUUUAUUUUUGUAUCAAGUUAGUACCAUGUGGUUUUAUUUUUGUAUCAAGUUAGUACCAUGUGAUUUUUAAGGGGUGGAAUAAUCCCUUAACCCCCAUAUUAUCUCCAAACACCCCCAAAAAUGGGUGGGGUUAGCUAUACCCACCUAACCCGGGAUAGCCCAUUUUGGGUGGGGUUAGCUAAUCCCACCUAACCCCACCAAACCCCAACCAAAUAUUAUUUUCUAUUCAUAAUAACCCACUAUCCUUCUUAUCUCAUUUACUUCAACCAAACAUUAUUUUCUAUUCAUAAUAACCCACUAUCCUUCUUAUCCCAUCUACUCCAACCAAAUACUAUUUUUUACUAUCCUGGAAUAACUCCAACCCCCAACCAAACACAAAAAUACUUUAACCCCACCUUGACCAUGAACUUAACCCUAUCCCUGGAAUAAUUAGUUUUUUCUUAACCCCGAACCAAAGGGUAGCAGGGUACUAAAGUGAUAAAGUGUGAAACCAUAGGGUGUUAAAGUGAUAAAGUGCGAAACCACAAGGUACUAACUUGAUACAUUUUAAACCACAGGGUACUAUAGUGAAAAAGUGCAAAACCACAAGGUACUAACUUGAUACACUUUAAACUACAGAGUACUAAAGUGAGAAAAAGUGAAACCACAAAGGGGGUAUUUGAAGUUUUCCCAUAGAUUUGAGAUAGUACAUAAUAGAAAAGGCAAAGUAUUAACAUUCAUUGAUGACUUGCACUUUGUAUUCAAAUCAAGUUUGGUACAAUAUCAAAUAUGCAUGUUGUCAUUAAAUAUGAUCUAGACCAUUUGAAAUGUUUAGAUAUCAAUAAAUAUAAUCUAGACCAUUUGAAAUGUUUAGAGACUGUAAACUAAACGAUUUGAUUCAACAAUGUUAAUGAUAGAGAGAAGGCAUUGAGGAUUAUAUGUUCAGCGUACUGAAAAAUAGUAAACUUUUAAAAAAAUUUUAAAAAAAAUUUGAGACUCACAUGAAGUAUUUAUUCAUUGAAAGUGGUAACUAAUAAUUUCAAAAGUUUAAGCCGAAGAAAAUGACACACCUAUCAUACUUAAAAUACAUAGAUGCACAGUGCUUACGAGCUCAAUUGUGAUUCGACCUAAUCUGGCCUUCGCCAUGAGACAAAUCGUUGAACCUAUUUCAGCCAACAAUAUCCUACAAAUAUUUACAAAAGCUCGAGCAUUUAAAAUU